UGGGAAUUUUGGACAAUGGGCGCAAGCCUGAUCCAGCCAUGCCGCGUGCGGGGAGAAGGCCUUCGGGUUGUAAACCGCUUUUGUCAGGGAAGAAAUCUUCUGAGUUAAUACCUCGGGAGGAUGACGGUACCUGAAGAAUAAGCACCGGCUAACUACGUGCCAGCAGCCGCGGUAAUACGUAGGGUGCAAGCGUUAAUCGGAAUUACUGGGCGUAAAGCGUGCGCAGGCGGUUUUGUAAGACAGAGGGUGAAAUCCCCGGGCUCAACCUGGGAACUGCCUUUGUGACUGCAAGGCUUGAGUGCGGCAGAGGGGGAUGGAAUUCCGCGUGUAGCAGUGAAAUGCGUAGAUAUGCGGAGGAACACCGUGGCGAAGGCAAUCCCCUGGGCCUGCACUGACGCUCAUGCACGAAAGCGUGAGGAGCAAAACAGGAUUAGAUACCCUGGUAGUCCACGCCCUAAACGAUGUCAACUGGUUGUUGGGAAGGUUCCUUCUCAGUAACGUAGCUAACGCGUGAAAGUUGACCGCCUGGGGAGUACGGCCGCAAGGUUGAAAACUCAAAGGAAUUGACGGGGUCAUAGCUGUUUCCUG
Molecule: ribosomal RNA, 588 nt
Filed under: uncultured bacterium
Lineage: Bacteria
Description: partial 16S ribosomal RNA
Rfam family: Bacterial small subunit ribosomal RNA
Source: RNAcentral